RNAcentral lists this ribosomal RNA (253 nucleotides) under uncultured bacterium. RNAcentral describes it as "partial 16S ribosomal RNA". It matches the Rfam family "Bacterial small subunit ribosomal RNA", at positions 524 to 776 of the family's 1533-position model. The record is from RNAcentral.
UACGUAGGGUGCGAGCGUUGUCCGGAAUUAUUGGGCGUAAAGGGCUCGUAGGCGGUCUGUCGCGUCGGGAGUGGAAACUCAGGGCUUAACCCUGAGCCUGCUUCCGAUACGGGCAGACUAGAGGUAUGCAGGGGAGAACGGAAUUCCUGGUGUAGCGGUGAAAUGCGCAGAUAUCAGGAGGAACACCGAUGGCGAAGGCAGGUCUCUGGGCAUUAACUGACGCUGAGGAGCGAAAGCAUGGGGAGCGAACAGG